This 466-nucleotide ribosomal RNA is filed under the name uncultured Alphaproteobacteria bacterium. Its description in RNAcentral is "bacterial SSU rRNA". It matches the Rfam family "Bacterial small subunit ribosomal RNA", at positions 9 to 523 of the family's 1533-position model. The record is from RNAcentral. Lineage: Bacteria; Pseudomonadati; Pseudomonadota; Alphaproteobacteria.
GAGUUUGAUCCUGGCUCAGAGCGAACGCUGGCGGCAGGCCUAACACAUGCAAGUCGAACGAUCCUUCGGGAUAGUGGCGGACGGGUGAGUAACACGUGGGAACGUGCCCUUUGGUUCGGAACAACUCAGGGAAACUUGAGCUAAUACCGAAUGUGCCCUUCGGGGGAAAGAUUUAUCGCCAUUGGAGCGGCCCGCGUCUGAUUAGCUAGUUGGUGAGGUAAAGGCUCACCAAGGCGACGAUCAGUAGCUGGUCUGAGAGGAUGAUCAGCCACACUGGGACUGAGACACGGCCCAGACUCCUACGGGAGGCAGCAGUGGGGAAUCUUGCGCAAUGGGCGAAAGCCUGACGCAGCCAUGCCGCGUGAAUGAUGAAGGUCUUAGGAUUGUAAAAUUCUUUCACCGGGGACGAUAAUGACGGUACCCGGAGAAGAAGCUCCGGCUAACUUCGUGCCAGCAGCCGCGGUAA